RNAcentral lists this transfer RNA (67 nucleotides) under Tetralia glaberrima. RNAcentral describes it as "tRNA-Tyr". It matches the Rfam family "tRNA". Rfam says of the family: Transfer RNA (tRNA) molecules are approximately 80 nucleotides in length. Their secondary structure includes four short double-helical elements and three loops (D, anti-codon, and T loops). Further hydrogen bonds mediate the characteristic L-shaped molecular structure. tRNAs have two regions of fundamental functional importance: the anti-codon, which is responsible for specific mRNA codon recognition, and the 3' end, to which the tRNAs corresponding amino acid is attached (by aminoacyl-tRNA synthetases). tRNAs cope with the degeneracy of the genetic code in two manners: having more than one tRNA (with a specific anti-codon) for a particular amino acid; and 'wobble' base-pairing, i.e. permitting non-standard base-pairing at the 3rd anti-codon position. The record is from RNAcentral. Lineage: Eukaryota; Metazoa; Arthropoda; Malacostraca; Decapoda; Tetraliidae. RNAcentral also lists the same sequence under 1 other name.
AAUAAGAUGGCUGAGAUUAUAAGCGGUAGAUUGUAAAUUUAUUAACAAGGAUAAACCUUUCUUAUUA